Molecule: long non-coding RNA, 1051 nt
Organism: Pezoporus occidentalis (night parrot)
Lineage: Eukaryota; Metazoa; Chordata; Aves; Psittaciformes; Psittacidae
Exons: 2
Source: RefSeq, a predicted model, not a curated record
AUGAGCUUACAUACACAUAUUCCAUCUCCUUGUCUGUACAGUGUUAGGCAAUGCAGGUAUCUGGUAUUUUUGCAUAUGUGGGAUGUUUCUAAGGACAUGGAAUUCAAAGUUGGAUGCAGACAGACUACUGAGUUUACCUGGGUACGUAAAGAAUACUUGCACUUUUGUGAUCAAUGCUCUCUAUUCAGCAAAAUUGCUUUUAAAUGUUAACUUUGCCAUCCCUUUAGAAAACGCCUCUUGAGGCAUAGUGAGGUGCAAAUAAUUCUUGGGAAUAACCUUUCUGAUGUCUUGAAUUGCUCCAAUGAUGCCUUGGAGAAAAUCUACUUUAUGGGAUGAAGACUGCUCACUGCAGGAGAGAAACUCGCCUGUGCUUCUGGAGGAAUUAAUUCCUGCAAGCCUCAAGAGCUGUUUAACAAAAGCUUUGACACUAGCUUGGUAGCAAGUGUCACAUUCUUUUUGGUUCUAACCACAUUUUUUGGAUGGUGUUUGUCCCAGCCCCAGAUCUGCUACUUCUGUGAAGGCUGUUUCAGUUCAUCGAAGGAGAAGGGAGCAAAGAGAAGGUAAGGGGAUCUGGUGCCAUUAUUCUUCCUGCUUUUUAUUGCUUUGCUUUCCAUAAUUUUCUUGCCACUUGCUAUUUUUUGUGUUUGAAUUUCAGCUAAUCCCUCCACAUUCAUAUGUUUAAUGUGCUUGGUGGUUUUGGAAGAGAUGUUGAAUUUACUUACACCUAAAAGUGUUAACUGCACUUUUAUUAUACUAAGCUAUUUUAAUAUCCAGUGGAAGACAAAUCAUCUUGCUUGUUUACAGCAUCAGCAUACUUGAUGCUGCCUGUUUGGUCCUUCUUGGCCUGUAGUGUUAUGGACUGACUCAUUCAUUUGGGGAUUUUUGUUGUUUUUUUUUCUUCAGAAAGGUCCCAGUUACUUCCACCCAUCAGUAGCAGAACGUAAAAGAUACCUUUGCACCUUGAACUUAAGCUAGAGUGGAUGCUUCUAUUUAGAAAGUAAAUUAGCUAGAAGAAGGUGAAGAAAAGGAAAUAAACACCAGUACAGAGGUG